Synchiropus splendidus (mandarinfish) is the source of this 146-nucleotide small nuclear RNA. RefSeq annotates it as U4 spliceosomal RNA. The record is from RefSeq and is a predicted model, not a curated record. NCBI's taxonomy places the organism in Eukaryota, Metazoa, Chordata, Actinopteri, Syngnathiformes, Callionymidae. The transcript has a single exon.
AGCUUUGCACAGUGGCAGUAUCGUAGCCUAUGAGGUUAAUCCGAGGCGCGAUUAUUGCCAGUUGAAAACUUACCUUAAAGGUCUAUACCCCGCCUUGACCACUUGAAAUACAGUUGUUACGGCAAUUUUUGAUGUCUCUGUGGGGA